GAGUCAAUUUAAAGCUCAGAUUUGAAAUGACAAGGACAAAAAUUUGGCACUCUAUCUAUACAUUUCACUGUAUUAAUAUAACCCACUGUUUUGAAACCCGGACCGUACGAGACCGGCUGGUUCGACUGGGAACCGGAUACAACUCCGGUCCAGUUCAAUGCUAAACCCGCUAAUGCACUAAGACCCGUUUUGAACCGCGGUCGGACUGGCGGAAUAGUAUCAAACUGCCGGUCUGUGACCCAAACCAGGUCACUAAUUAUUGGUGGGACUAUUCUACUUUACUUCUAGACUUCCAGACUUCCAUUACUCCUCACUUCUUUCUCUUUUGAAGCAAAAGAUGAAGAACCCUAUACUGACACAAAAGAUGAAGAGCCCACAUUUUUCUCUCUCCUGUAAAGACCUUUCAUUUUUUUUUUUUUAAUCUUCAAGACUGUUCCUUGUCCCUUGAUUUGCUCUCCCUUGCUCACAAAGAAACCCACAAACCCAUUUCAAGAGUGGGUUUUUUAAGCUUCAUUUGUGAGCUUCAUCAACAGAGGAAGUUGUACAAGUUGGUGUUGAAGUGAGACAAGUGUGGAUGGUCCCACCAACAAGUGAUGGGAUUCCUACUAUGAAGCUAGUCCAUUUUCUUAAACCUAUGAAUGGGUUUUCGUGAGGCAGAGGGAGGGGGAAAAGAGAUUGGAUUGGAGGGAGAGAGCGGUAGGGGUUUUCUGGAGAGUGGAGAGACGCCAUUGAUGGAGAGCUUGAGGCUCUCUGUCUGUUUGUGUUUUUGUGUGUGUGAGAGGAAGAGUGAGUGCUGAAAGAGGAUUGGAUUACGGCUAAGAGGGAAAUGGAGGGUGGAGGCUGAAACAAAGGAGAGGAAUGGAGGGAGAGAGCCAUUGGGGUUUGCUAGAGAGACGCCAUUGAUGGAGAGUUUGAAGCUCUCUGUGUGUUUGUAUUUUUGUCCGUGAGAGGAAGAGUGAGUGCUGAAAGAGGAUUGGAUUAGACUGAAGCAAAGAAGAGGAAUGGAGGGUGGGGAUUAUCUUGAAAGUGGAAAGAUUGACCGGUCCGACUGGCACAGCCCGGGACCUGGAUGCCUGACCGGGCCAGGUCUCAAAACAUUGAUUUAACCAAUAUUUGUGUCCGAUCCUACUCAUCAUCAAGAUUUGAAGCUUUAAUUCUCUUAUUGUCUGGUUCUGAUAAAGAAAAAUAGAUUGCAAUGAGUUUAUCAUUCUUAUUGUCUGAUUCUAAUGUGAGAUUCUUAUCUGUUUAGGAUCAAUCUUGCUCUACUUUACAGCAGGCAUCAUGUAGCUUCACCAUAGAAAUUUUACCAUUAUCCUGCUCAGGAACUGAAAGCUGUUAAGGACUGAACCAGCAUAACCAACAGAGGUAUCAGACUCAUUUUGAUGACUCCAGGAUUAAGCCUGUCAUGACUAAUUUGAAGUGGCAGGAACAAAACAGAAAUGCAUUGAAAGACAAGUGCUCCAUCAGUUGCAGUUUUCUAUCCACUGGUGACUACUGUUCGGAAUUUAUUCAAAUUCAGCAACCAAUAGUGUGUUUUUUACCAGAGAGUGCGAUAAGCAGUGGCAGGUAUACUUAAGAUCAAAUUCAACAAGAUUGAGGAUAUUGACCCCACUGUGAUUGAUGGAUUAUGCCCACAAAUUCAAGAAAUUCAGGCUUGGCUCUGGCCAAAGGAGAGACUUGAUAUGGUUAAACAAGGUUCUUCCAUCGCUGAUUACUUCUUACCAUCCAAAUAUAGAUGGGGCAUUCCCAAGUGUUAUCUUUCUGUAGAAAGUUGUGUACUCUCUCAAAGUUAAGAAAUCUGGUGCUGCUUGAUUUUGUAUUUGAUUUUUCAUGUGACCGUUACAAGAGCCAGAAGAUGGUAGAGCCAAAUUGAGUUACAGUUGUAUCUGUAAGUAUCAUAAAUGUUCUUCAUUCUUUCUUAAACUGCAUAUUGCACUAAUAUGAGAGAGAAUGAUAGAAAACAUGUAUGAGAUGGUAAAAGAAUUUGAUGUUGUGGUUAGUGCAGCGAAAGGCUGUGGCUGCUGCAGUUUUUAUAA
Pistacia vera is the source of this 2036-nucleotide long non-coding RNA. RefSeq lists it as uncharacterized. The transcript is spliced from 3 exons. The record is from RefSeq and is a predicted model, not a curated record. Lineage: Eukaryota; Viridiplantae; Streptophyta; Magnoliopsida; Sapindales; Anacardiaceae.